GUAGAGCGGCGAACGGGUGAGUAACGCGUGAGGAUCUUCCCUUCAGUGAAGGAUACCCUUGAGAAAUUAAGGUUAAUACUGCAUACGUCCCAUAUUUAUUUAUGGGAGAAAGAUGGCCUCUUGCUGUCGCUGAAAGAUGAACUUGCGUUCUAUUAGCUAGUUGGUGGGGUAAAGGCUCACCAAGGCGAUGAUGGAUAGCCGGCCUGAGAGGGUGAACGGCCACAUUGGAACUGCGACACGGUCCAGACUCC
This 251-nucleotide ribosomal RNA is filed under the name uncultured bacterium. Its description in RNAcentral is "partial 16S ribosomal RNA". It matches the Rfam family "Bacterial small subunit ribosomal RNA", at positions 90 to 339 of the family's 1533-position model. The record is from RNAcentral.